This 133-nucleotide transfer RNA is filed under the name Bacilli bacterium. RNAcentral's name for it is "tRNA-OTHER". It matches the Rfam family "tRNA". From Rfam's summary of the family: Transfer RNA (tRNA) molecules are approximately 80 nucleotides in length. Lineage: Bacteria; Bacillati; Bacillota; Bacilli. The record is from RNAcentral.
CUUCUCGUAGCUCAGUUGGUUUUUUAGAGCACCAAACUUAUCACUACGCUAACUUGGUAUGUUAGAAACAAACGUAGACCAAACUAUUAAACGCUUAAUUUGGGGGUCAUGGGUUCGAAUCCCAUCGGGAAGA